AUUUUCAGAAUGAAUAUUGAUGUCUUUGGAAGGAAACUAUAAAUUUCUUGGACAUAAGGAGUGAAAAUUAGUCAACUCAUUUGUGAUUCGAGAUGAAAAUGGAGCCAAGGAUAAUUUAUUCUAAGAUUUUGUGCGUUGUUGUCAUUCAUCGCAGUCAUAAACGUCAUAAUAGGUAUAUAAGUCGCAGAAAUGAUUCAUCAAACUAAUUGACAAGUGGAUAAACAAAAAGGUGUUCGUUUCUGGAGGAUGAGGUGUUUGUUGCGGAGCAGCUCCUGGAGGAGAUCGGGCAUAGCUGAGCGCAGUUCAAUCCAAUUGUAGCAGAGGAGGGAAGGAUCGUCUAUUUAAAGAAAAAUUAUAUGCUGUCAUCGUAUUUUUAACACGUUGCGGAAAAUCGCAAAUGUCUAUUCCAGGGAGGAAACUUUCCUCUUUUUAAAGAGUGAGAGUAUCGUGUCAUCGUAUAUUUAACACGGCGAAGAAAUUCGCAAUAGUGUUUUUUCAGUCCAUGUCCAAUAAACAAUCUGAAGGACAGGAAGGAUGUGGAAGAAGAAAAGUGGCCCCUGCAUAUUUUUUUUUUAUUAAAAUUUUUUGUUUUCUUUUUAUUUUUUUUUAAUAACAUUUUUUUUAACGCUCCCGGCCUCGCGCAGAAGUGCGAGCAAGAAAGAGGGAUCCUCGGGAGCUGGCCUGAAGCGCUCGAGAAGUGGCGAUGUAACUUUUGCCCCGACGUGGGAUUCGC
Leptopilina boulardi is the source of this 733-nucleotide long non-coding RNA. RefSeq lists it as uncharacterized. The record is from RefSeq and is a predicted model, not a curated record. Lineage: Eukaryota; Metazoa; Arthropoda; Insecta; Hymenoptera; Figitidae. The transcript has 6 exons.